GAUGAACGCUGGCUACAGGCUUAACACAUGCAAGUCGAGGGGAAACGACGGGGAAGCUUGCUUCCCUGGGCGUCGACCGGCGCACGGGUGAGUAACGCGUAUCCAACCUGCCUCUGACUGAGGGAUAACCCGUCGAAAGUCGGCCUAAUACCUCAUGGCAUCGUCUGCGGGCAUCCAACGACGAUUAAAGAUUUCAUCGGUCAGGGAUGGGGAUGCGUCUGAUUAGCUUGUUGGCGGGGUAACGGCCCACCAAGGCGACGAUCAGUAGGGGUUCUGAGAGGAAGGUCCCCCACAUCGGAACUGAGACACGGUCCAAACUCCUACGGGAGGCAGCAGUGAGGAAUAUUGGUCAAUGGGCGAGAGCCUGAACCAGCCAAGUAGCGUGCAGGAUGACGGCCCUAUGGGUUGUAAACUGCUUUUAUGCGGGGAUAAAGUGAGGGACGUGUCCUUCAUUGCAGGUACCGCAUGAAUAAGGACCGGCUAAUUCCGUGCCAGCAGCCGCGGUAAUACGGAAGGUCCGGGCGUUAUCCGGAUUUAUUGGGUUUAAAGGGAGCGUAGGCCGUGGAUUAAGCGUGUUGUGAAAUGCAGGUGCUCAACGUCUGCACUGCAGCGCGAACUGGUCCACUUGAGUGUGCGCAACGCAGGCGGAAUUCGUCGUGUAGCGGUGAAAUGCUUAGAUAUGACGAAGAACUCCGAUUGCGAAGGCAGCUUGCGGGAGCACAACUGACGCUGAAGCUCGAAAGUGCGGGUAUCGAACAGG
RNAcentral lists this ribosomal RNA (760 nucleotides) under uncultured Prevotella sp. RNAcentral describes it as "bacterial SSU rRNA". It matches the Rfam family "Bacterial small subunit ribosomal RNA", at positions 28 to 776 of the family's 1533-position model. Lineage: Bacteria; Pseudomonadati; Bacteroidota; Bacteroidia; Bacteroidales; Prevotellaceae. The record is from RNAcentral.